Molecule: ribosomal RNA, 1432 nt
Filed under: uncultured bacterium
Lineage: Bacteria
Description: bacterial SSU rRNA
Rfam family: Bacterial small subunit ribosomal RNA
Source: RNAcentral
AGAGUUUGAUCCUGUCUCAGGACGAACGCUGGCGGCGUGCCUAAUACAUGCAAGUCGAGCGAGCUUGCCUAGAUGAUUUUAGUGCUUGCACUAAAUGAAACUAGAUACAAGCGAGCGGCGGACGGGUGAGUAACACGUGGGUAACCUGCCCAAGAGACUGGGAUAACACCUGGAAACAGAUGCUAAUACCGGAUAACAACACUAGACGCAUGUCUAGAGUUUGAAAGAUGGUUCUGCUAUCACUCUUGGAUGGACCUGCGGUGCAUUAGCUAGUUGGUAAGGUAACGGCUUACCAAGGCAAUGAUGCAUAGCCGAGUUGAGAGACUGAUCAGCCACAUUGGGACUGAGACACGGCCCAAACUCCUACGGGAGGCAGCAGUAGGGAAUCUUCCACAAUGGACGAAAGUCUGAUGGAGCAGCGCCGCGUGAGUGAAGAAGGGUUUCGGCUCGUAAAGCUCUGUUGGUAGUGAAGAAAGAUAGAGGUAGUAACUGGCCUUUAUUUGACGGUAAUUACUUAGAAAGUCACGGCUAACUACGUGCCAGCAGCCGCGGUAAUACGUAGGUGGCAAGCGUUGUCCGGAUUUAUUGGGCGUAAAGCGAGUGCAGGCGGUUCAAUAAGUCUGAUGUGAAAGCCUUCGGCUCAACCGGAGAAUUGCAUCAGAAACUGUUGAACUUGAGUGCAGAAGAGGAGAGUGGAACUCCAUGUGUAGCGGUGGAAUGCGUAGAUAUAUGGAAGAACACCAGUGGCGAAGGCGGCUCUCUGGUCUGCAACUGACGCUGAGGCUCGAAAGCAUGGGUAGCGAACAGGAUUAGAUACCCUGGUAGUCCAUGCCGUAAACGAUGAGUGCUAAGUGUUGGGAGGUUUCCGCCUCUCAGUGCUGCAGCUAACGCAUUAAGCACUCCGCCUGGGGAGUACGACCGCAAGGUUGAAACUCAAAGGAAUUGACGGGGGCCCGCACAAGCGGUGGAGCAUGUGGUUUAAUUCGAAGCAACGCGAAGAACCUUACCAGGUCUUGACAUCCAGUGCAAACCUAAGAGAUUAGGUGUUCCCUUCGGGGACGCUGAGACAGGUGGUGCAUGGUUGUCGUCAGCUCGUGUCGUGAGAUGUUGGGUUAAGUCCCGCAACGAGCGCAACCCUUAUCUUCAGUAGCCAGCACGUAGAGGUGGGCACUCUGGAGAGACUGCCAGGGAGAACCUGGAGGAAGGUGGGGAUGACGUCAAAUCAUCAUGCCCCUUAUGUCCAGGGCUACACACGUGCUACAAUGGCGUAAACAGAGGGAAGCGAACACGCGAGUGUAAGCGAAUCUCAAAAAUAACGUCCCAGUUCGGAUUGCAGUCUGCAACUCGACUGCAUGAAGCUGGAAUCGCUAGUAAUCGCGAAUCAGAAUGUCGCGGUGAAUACGUUCCCGGGUCUUGUACUCACCGCCCGUCA